GCCAGGCCUGGGGGGAGGGCAAGGCCGGGCUUGGUACCCAGUCACUCGGGUCAAGCUCUGUCCCUGGGGCAUGCAGACAGGGUACCCAGGACUGGGGAGGAAUUGGGGGGGAGGGUCUCACAUUGCAGGCGUUUUUCUUGGAGUCGGGGAUGCCAGCGCACAGCAUGGAAUUUUCCAGUAAGUCCUUGUAAACCUUCGUGCAGUCCUGGGGGGAGAUGAGCUUGACAUCCACGCACAUGAGGUCAUUAACAUGGGUCUGUGUGGAGUAGCCGGGGUGGCGGAAUGACUUCGAGGCCUUGAUCCUCUGAGCUCUCCUGUCGCCCAGCGUAUCACUGCCCAG
RNAcentral lists this long non-coding RNA (340 nucleotides) under Homo sapiens (human). Its description in RNAcentral is "HSALNT0261636". The record is from RNAcentral. Lineage: Eukaryota; Metazoa; Chordata; Mammalia; Primates; Hominidae.